UAUCCGUAGGUGAACCUGCGGAGGGAUCAUUACAGAGUUCAUGCCCUACUGGGUAGAUCUCCCACCCUAUGUUAUUAUUACUUUGUUGCUUUGGCGGGCCGUUAGGCUCCGGCCCGACUACCGGCCCCGGCUGGUAAGCGCCCGCCAGAGGACCCAAAACCCUGAAUAUUAGUGUCGUCUGAGUACUAUAUAAUAGUUAAAACUUUCAACAACGGAUCUCUUGGUUCUG
Molecule: unclassified non-coding RNA, 229 nt
Filed under: plant metagenome
Description: partial contains small subunit ribosomal RNA, internal transcribed spacer 1, and 5.8S ribosomal RNA
Source: RNAcentral